Non-coding RNA from Corvus hawaiiensis (hawaiian crow), 511 nucleotides. The record is from the annotation of a RefSeq genome assembly. NCBI's taxonomy places the organism in Eukaryota, Metazoa, Chordata, Aves, Passeriformes, Corvidae.
CAUUCUGGGGACACUGAGCUGGUGGGGUUGAACCAUGGCCUGGGUCCCUCUUCUCCUCGUGGUGCUCGCCCACAGCACAGGUUCCCUGGUCCAGGCAGCGCUGACUCAGCAGCCGUCCUCGCUGUCAGCCAACGUGGGAGAGACGGUCAGGAUCACCUGCUCUGGGCUUAGCAGCAGCUAUGCUUAUGCUGGCUGGUAUCAGCAGAAGGUCCCUGGCAGUGGCCCUGUCACUGUGAUCUACGAUAAUACCAACAGACCCUCGGGCAUCCCUUUGCGAUUCUCCGGAUCCCAGUCCGGCUCCACGGCCACGUUAACCAUCACUGGGGUCCAGGCCGAGGACGAGGCUGUCUAUUUCUGUGGUGGUGCUGACAGCAGCAGUGAUCCUGCUCAGAGCUGGGAGGUGUCCCCGCUCUGUGCCUGGGGACAAGCCCUGCUGCAUCUGGGGCGGAGGGGCUGGGUGUGGAGCGGGGAGGGAUGUGCGGAGAGAGGCGCAGGCAGGAUCUGGCCGUGA